RNAcentral lists this ribosomal RNA (223 nucleotides) under uncultured bacterium. RNAcentral describes it as "partial 16S ribosomal RNA". It matches the Rfam family "Bacterial small subunit ribosomal RNA", at positions 111 to 334 of the family's 1533-position model. The record is from RNAcentral.
GUACACGUAUCCAACCUGCCGUCUACUCUUGGACAGCCUUCUGAAAGGAAGAUUAAUACAAGAUGGCAUCAUGAGUCCGCAUGUUCACAUGAUUAAAGGUAUUCCGGUAGACGAUGGGGAUGCGUUCCAUUAGAUAGUAGGCGGGGUAACGGCCCACCUAGUCUUCGAUGGAUAGGGGUUCUGAGAGGAAGGUCCCCCACAUUGGAACUGAGACACGGUCCAA